Molecule: antisense RNA, 75 nt
Filed under: Streptomyces ipomoeae 91-03
Lineage: Bacteria; Bacillati; Actinomycetota; Actinomycetes; Kitasatosporales; Streptomycetaceae
Description: ASpks TB sRNA
Rfam family: ASpks TB sRNA
Source: Rfam by way of RNAcentral
CUUGAGGGAGCCGAGCCAGAGGGGGCGCUCCUCGGGGCGGUCCUGGCCGUACGUCGCGAUGAUGGCCUGGGCCUC